AAGCCUCGGGGGGCAGCAGUGGGGGAUAUUGCACAAUGGGGGAAACCCUGAUGCAGCGACGCCGCGUGGGUGAAGAAGCGCCUCGGCGCGUAAAGCCCUGUCAGCAGGGAAGAAAAUGACGGUACCUGAAGAAGAAGCCCCGGCUAACUACGUGCCAGCAGCCGCGGUAAUACGUAGGGGGCAAGCGUUAUCCGGAUUUACUGGGUGUAAAGGGAGCGUAGGCGGGACUGCAAGUUGGGUGUCAAAUCUACCGGCUCAACCGGUAGCCGCACUCAAAACUG
RNAcentral lists this ribosomal RNA (281 nucleotides) under uncultured bacterium. RNAcentral's name for it is "partial 16S ribosomal RNA". It matches the Rfam family "Bacterial small subunit ribosomal RNA", at positions 333 to 635 of the family's 1533-position model. The record is from RNAcentral.